RNAcentral lists this ribosomal RNA (377 nucleotides) under Helicobacter pylori. Its description in RNAcentral is "bacterial SSU rRNA". It matches the Rfam family "Bacterial small subunit ribosomal RNA", at positions 273 to 667 of the family's 1533-position model. Lineage: Bacteria; Pseudomonadati; Campylobacterota; Epsilonproteobacteria; Campylobacterales; Helicobacteraceae. The record is from RNAcentral.
UCUAUGACGGGUAUCCGGCCUGAGAGGGUGAUCGGACACACUGGAACUGAGACACGGUCCAGACUCCUACGGGAGGCAGCAGUAGGGAAUAUUGCUCAAUGGGGGAAACCCUGAAGCAGCAACGCCGCGUGGAGGAUGAAGGUUUUAGGAUUGUAAACUCCUUUUGUUAGAGAAGAUAAUGACGGUAUCUAACGAAUAAGCACCGGCUAACUCCGUGCCAGCAGCCGCGGUAAUACGGAGGGUGCAAGCGUUACUCGGAAUCACUGGGCGUAAAGAGCGCGUAGGCGGAAUAGUCAGUCAGGUGUGAAAUCCUAUGGCUUAACCAUAGAACUGCAUUUGAAACUACUAUUCUAGAGUGUGGGAGAGGUAGGUGGAAU